GACGAACGCUGGCGGCGUGCUUAACACAUGCAAGUCGAACGGGUGCAGCAAUGCAUCAGUGGCAGACGGGUGAGUAACACGUGGGAACCUUCCUAGGGGUACGGAACAACUCAGGGAAACUUGAGCUAAUACCGUAUGUGUCCGAGAGGAGAAAGAUUUAUCGCCCUUAGACGGGCCCGCGUCGGAUUAGCUAGUUGGUGGGGUAACGGCCUACCAAGGCGACGAUCCGUAGCUGAUCUUAGAGGAUGAUCAGCCACACUGGGACUGAGACACGGCCCAGACUCCUACGGGAGGCAGCAGUGGGGAAUCUUGGACAAUGGGCGCAAGCCUGAUCCAGCCAUGCCGCGUGAGUGAAGAAGGUCUUCGGAUUGUAAAGCUCUUUUGCCAGGGACGAUAAUGACGGUACCUGGAGAAUAAGCCCCGGCAAACUUCGUGCCAGCAGCCGCCGUAA
RNAcentral lists this ribosomal RNA (451 nucleotides) under uncultured bacterium. Its description in RNAcentral is "partial 16S ribosomal RNA". It matches the Rfam family "Bacterial small subunit ribosomal RNA", at positions 28 to 523 of the family's 1533-position model. The record is from RNAcentral.